AGGUGCAAUCAUACCAGAACUAAUGCACCAGAUCCCAUCAAAACACUGCAGUUAAGCGUACUUGGACGAGAGUACUACUAGGAUGGGUGACCUCUUGGGAAGUCCUCGUCUUGCACCUC
This 119-nucleotide ribosomal RNA is filed under the name Lupinus angustifolius (narrow-leaved blue lupine). The record is from RNAcentral. Lineage: Eukaryota; Viridiplantae; Streptophyta; Magnoliopsida; Fabales; Fabaceae.